GUGUCAGCCGCCGCGGUAAUACGAAGGGUGCAAGCGUUACUCGGAAUUACUGGGCGUAAAGCGUGCGUAGGUGGUUCGUUAAGUCCGAUGUGAAAGCCCUGGGCUCAACCUGGGAAUGGCAUUGGAUACUGGCGGGCUAGAGUGCGGUAGAGGAUAGUGGAAUUCCUGGUGUAGCAGUGAAAUGCGUAGAGAUCAGGAGGAACAUCCGUGGCGAAGGCGACUGUCUGGACCAGCACUGACACUGAGGCACGAAAGCGUGGGGAGCAAACAGGAUUAGAUACCCUGGUAGUCCACGCCCUAAACGAUGCGAACUGGAUGUUGGGCUCAACUUGGAGCUCAGUAUCGAAGCUAACGCGUUAAGUUCGCCGCCUGGGGAGUACGGUCGCAAGACUGAA
This 395-nucleotide ribosomal RNA is filed under the name uncultured bacterium. Its description in RNAcentral is "bacterial SSU rRNA". It matches the Rfam family "Bacterial small subunit ribosomal RNA", at positions 505 to 898 of the family's 1533-position model. The record is from RNAcentral.